This is a long non-coding RNA of Chelonus insularis, 515 nucleotides long. RefSeq lists it as uncharacterized. Lineage: Eukaryota; Metazoa; Arthropoda; Insecta; Hymenoptera; Braconidae. The record is from RefSeq and is a predicted model, not a curated record. The transcript has 3 exons.
CUCAAUUGCAUAAACAUACAUUGUUUUAUGGUAAAAUUAAUGGAAAAAAACGUAUGACUCGAGAGAUUUAUUUUCACACAUUUACUUUAUCAGAAAAUAAAAAAAAUUAAUUGUUUUUUACUGGUAUGAAAUCCCGAGUUACAGAGAUGCAAAUUUUUUUAUACAUGCUAAUAGUUGAUGACACUCCUACUUUCAUUUCCCGUGAGAUCUUCCUCCCUUUUCCAAGAGUUCUGUAAUCAACUAAUGGCAUAGAUGAUUAGCUAUUUAAGUACUGCUAGUUAUUUUAUAGCUUCUUGAAAGCUACUUGCAUUCCAUUUUCACUUUCUAAAAGUCAUAAAGUUUGUAUUUAAAUAAAAUACCAAGGAUAAAAUGUACAAAAUAUCUUCAAUUUCUCUACUGACCUACUCAACCCACACUCCCAUAAAAAUGACAACAUGUCUGUCUUUGUUUUUAUGUUGAUAACAGUUGUGUGGCUCUUAAAUUAUAAACCUAAUUAAUGCUGUUUACAAUUAAGG